CUCGAGGGGAGCUACGACCGCGAGGCUGAAACUUGAAGGAAUUGACGGAAGGGCACACCAGGGGUGGAGCCUGUGGCUUAAUUUGAAUCAACACGGGGAAACUUACCAGGACCAGAUGUUUUUUAUGACUGACAGGCUUCGGGUCUUUCAGGAUAUUGCUUUUGGUGGUGCAUGGCCGUUGGUGGUGCGUGGGUUGACCUGUCUAGCGUUGAUUCAGCUAACGAGCGAGAUUAUCGCCAAUUAUAUAGCUCGCAUUGGCUUCAGUGUUGAG
Molecule: ribosomal RNA, 271 nt
Filed under: Pentatrichomonas hominis
Lineage: Eukaryota; Parabasalia; Trichomonadida; Trichomonadidae
Description: partial small subunit ribosomal RNA
Rfam family: Eukaryotic small subunit ribosomal RNA
Source: RNAcentral